UUGCCCUGCGCACGGCCACGUUCCCCACCCUCGUUUCCACUCUCCUCGCUCGCUCCUCCGUGUCGCCGCACCCCAUCGCCGGCGUCGUCUUGCUCUCGCGCCCCACCUCAUCGCCGGCGUCUUCUUCCUCUCGCGCCCCCGCGGCGCCGCCUUGCUCCCCACCACCCUGUUUCCUCUCGCAUCCCGCCCUCAACGACGCUUGUAGUCAGAGCUCAAAGGUCGCAUUUUUUUUGCUCUGGCUACGUGCUCCUGGGUGAAGAGGCACUACUCCGGCGUAGAUCUGCGUGUGCCAGCGACGUAUUGCUGGGCGGGAGGCCCUGGAUUUGCGUGCGCCGGAAACGUAUUGCUCGGCGGAAGGUCCUGGAUUUGCGUGCGGCGACGAUGUGCUGGAGCGCAAGGAUGCAAUGGAUCUGCCUCAGGAGCAACUGGAGCGCAAGGACGCGCAUAGCUGAGGCAAGGCGAGGAAGGAGGGAGAAACCUGACGCGGAUGCCACCGGCGGCCGCGGGAGAUCUGGCUGGUGUUCUCAGACGUGGGGUUCGGUUUCUCGUCCUAGUCGCCGCCGGGUACUGCCUGCCGCUGCAGCCAACGACGCCAUCCACGCCCAUUUGUUUCUGCAGCUUCUGAUGGUGUCAAGGCGUGGGAAAUACUGAAAGCAAAAUCAUUCAAGAUAGACCUUGUUCUAACUGAAGUCAAACUUCCUUUGAUGUCUGGGUUCUUGCUACUCUCCACGAUCAUGGAGCAUGACGCUUGCAAGAAUAUCCCUGGUAUAAGUAUGUGCUCAAUUUAUGCCGUGUUUGAUUGAAAAUGUGGCGGCCUGCAGAAAUGGGGAAUGCAGUGAACAAGAAAGUUAUGCUCAAAUCAUGAAGAAGGGCGGUCUCAAGGACUCUUUGCCUGUUGUAGAAAAAUGUGGAAUGAUGUUUUAUCGAAAUUACACAAGGAAAUUACAAUAGCACUACUCGUUAGCCUUUAUGCUAUUUCGUCGGCCGGAGCUACGCAGGCGAGGCGCCGCAACGCAGUUCUGCGGCUACGCCGUCGACUUCCUCGACAAGGUCUCCGGCACCAUCAAGAUCGUCCCCAUAGCCUCCAACAAGUAAAUAAAUUCAUAUCCACAUGAGCACCAUAUGGACAUCAUCUUCUUCGGGUGGAGUGAAAUUCAAGUCUGGGAGCACCAUAUUGAUCCUGAGUGCUACUGCUUCUGCUAUUUGUUCAGGUACGAGGAUGCUGUUGUUGUAAUGUGUUCCUGCUCGUAUAUUUGUUCAACAUAGGCUCUGAUGUCUGCUGCUGCUCUCUGUGCGAGGAGCACCUGUGCGUGAGGCUCUUGGUGAGUAAGAACCUGGGAGCCGGUCUUCGACAAAGAGGCGAGGAGCACCUAGCGAGGAGGUUGUCGUCAAGGAGGAGGCGAAGCACACCUAGGUGAGGAGCUGCCUGGGCCGGAGGUGAUCGUCCUCCAGGAUGGUCCUGGGCGAGGACCUACCUGGGCCGGAAGAGAUCGUCCUCCAGGAUGGUCCUGGGCGAGGACCUGCCUGGGCCUGAGGAGAUCGUCCUCCGGUAGCACCUUGCGCGGGAGACCUUCCUCCAAGAGCACCUUGGC
Lolium perenne is the source of this 1592-nucleotide long non-coding RNA. RefSeq lists it as uncharacterized. Lineage: Eukaryota; Viridiplantae; Streptophyta; Magnoliopsida; Poales; Poaceae. The record is from RefSeq and is a predicted model, not a curated record.